Molecule: long non-coding RNA, 208 nt
Filed under: Lathyrus oleraceus (garden pea)
Lineage: Eukaryota; Viridiplantae; Streptophyta; Magnoliopsida; Fabales; Fabaceae
Description: Pisum sativum (pea) long non-coding RNA (PSAT_LNC038936)
Source: RNAcentral
CAAUAGCAGUUAACCUCCUUAAUGUAAUCACUUAACAUAACCACAAUUUUGAAUAUUACCAUUGUAUUAACUAACAUUUAAAAAAUACAAAAAAAAAUGAUGUUCAAUUUGAUGUCAAAGUUAGUCUAAACAUCAAAAUUGAACACCACCAAAAUAUACACAAAACAAAUUUCUAAGUCUAACAAAAGUCUAAAGAGUCGACCUCCUA